Molecule: ribosomal RNA, 346 nt
Filed under: uncultured bacterium
Lineage: Bacteria
Description: partial 16S ribosomal RNA
Rfam family: Bacterial small subunit ribosomal RNA
Source: RNAcentral
CCUACGGGUGGCAGCAGUGAGGAAUAUUGGUCAAUGGGCUGACGCCUGAACCAGCCAAGUCGCGUGAGGGAAGACUGCCCUAUGGGUUGUAAACCUCUUUUGUCAGGGAGCAAAGCCGGCUACGUGUAGCCGGACGGAGAGAACCUGAAGAAAAAGCAGGGGCUAACUCGGGGCCAGCAGCCGCGGUAAUACGGAGGAUGCGAGCGUUAGCCGGAUUGAUUGGGUUUCAGGGGUGCGUAGGCGGAAUGCCAAGUCAGCGGUAAAAUCGCGGGGCUCACCCUCGCUCCGCCGUUGAAACUGGCGUUCUUGAGUGGGCUAGCAGUAUGCGGAAUGCGUGGUGUAGCGG